UACAGGGGGUGCAACCGUUGCUCGGAAUCAUUGGGCGUAAAGCGCACGUAGGCGGUUCGUUAUGUCGGAUGUGAAAGCCCUUGGCUUAACCGAGGAAGUGCAUCCGAAACUGGCGAGCUAGAGUACUAAAGAGGAUCGCGGAAUUCCCGGUGUAGAGGUGAAAUUCGUAGAUAUCGGGAGGAACACCGGUGGCGAAGGCGGCGAUCUGGACGAUAACUGACGCUGAGACGCGAAAGCGUGGGUAGCAAACAGG
Molecule: ribosomal RNA, 253 nt
Filed under: uncultured bacterium
Lineage: Bacteria
Description: partial 16S ribosomal RNA
Rfam family: Bacterial small subunit ribosomal RNA
Source: RNAcentral